Molecule: ribosomal RNA, 1873 nt
Filed under: Henneguya sp. ba DHV-2022
Lineage: Eukaryota; Metazoa; Cnidaria; Myxozoa; Bivalvulida; Myxobolidae
Description: SSU rRNA
Rfam family: Eukaryotic small subunit ribosomal RNA
Source: RNAcentral
GCACGUGAUAGUUCAUACAUUUGAAAUGUGAGACUGUGGACGGCUCAGUAUAUCAGUUAUAAUCUGCUCGAUUGUAAAGGUUAUUGGAUAACCGUGGGAAAUCUAGAGCUAAUACAUGUGGGGUUUGGCGCAAGCCAAUUGCAUUUAUUAGAACAAUCCAACCGUGCGAGCAAUCGCAUGUGACGAAUCUAGAUAACUGUGCAGAUCGUACGGCCUCGAGCUGACGACGUUUCGAUUGAAUUUCUGCCCUAUCAACUUUGUUGGCAGUGUAGUGGACUGCCAAGGUUUUUACGGGUAACGGGGGAUCAGGGUUCGAUUCCGGAGAGGGAGCCUGAGAAACGGCUACCACAUCCAAGGAAGGCAGCAGGCGCGCAAAUUACCCAAUCCAGACAAUGGGAGGUGGUGACGAAAAGUACCGGAUGGCGAUUUUAUCGCCAGUCUGGAAUGAAAACAAUUUAAGCAAUUGAAUUGAGUAACGACUGGAGGGCAAGUCUGGUGCCAGCAGCCGCGGUAAUUCCAGCUCCAGUAGCGUACUGCAACGUUGCUGCGCUUAAAACGCUCGUAGUUGGAUCACUCACUGUGCUUCGGUGUACAGAUGGCGUGCUCAACGCCCGUCAAACCGAUGAAUCAUCGCGUCACUGACGGGUAGGGUGCGUCGCUGUAAAUUAGCCGUUGUGCAGUAAUUGCACGUGAGGAUGGCCGUUGACCUUUAGUGCGUUGAGGGUUGUGUCUCACGGGGUGUGCCUUGAGUAAAUCAGAGUGCUUAAAGCAGGCUUACGCUUGAAUGUUAUUAGCAUGGAACGAACAAUCGUGUAUGGUGUGUGUUGGGAACGGUAGAGUGCGCUCGCGUAGGCUACUACAACACACGACACCGACCGCCAAUUACGGAUGUUGGUUCCGUAUUGGGGUACUGAUUAAGAGGAGCGGUUGGGGGCAUUGGUAUUUGGCAGCGAGAGGUGAAAUUCUUGGACCUGCCAAGGACUAACAAAUGCGAAGGCAUCUGUCCAGACCGUAUCCAUUAAUCAAGAACGAAAGAGAGAGGUUCGAAGACGAUCAGAUACCGUCCUAGUUCUCUCUGUAAACUAUGCCGACCCGGGAUCAGUUUGGAGCUAUUUAUGCUCGCUCGAGGUUGGUCCCCCUGGGAAACCUAAAGUUUUUCGGUUGCGGGGGGAGUAUGGUCGCAAGGCUGAAACUUAAAGGAAUUGACGGAAGGGCACCACCAGGGGUGGAGCCUGCGGCUUAAUUUGACUCAACACGGGAAAACUUACCUGAUCCGGACAUCUAUAGGAUAAUCAGAUUAAUAGCUCUUAUUUGAUAAGAUGAUUGGUGGUGCAUGGCCGUUCUUAGUUCGUGGAGUGAUCUGUCAGGCCAAUUCCGGUAACGAACGAGACCACAGUCUCCGUUUGACGAGCUGAAGCAGGCGUCGGUGAGAGGCGAAGAGGGCAACCAACGCGUCUCCUGCAGGCGUUGAAGGCAAAAUGGAGGUGGACGAGGGUAGCAAUACCUUUGACUGCUUACAGGCUCCCUUCAGUCUAGCAGUAUGUCCCCGCAAGGGCCAACAUUCUGUAUCACGGAGAGACAACGGAAUAUAUAACAAAAUCCGAGGAAGUGUGGCUAUAACAGGUCUGUGAUGCCCUUAGAUGUUCAGGGCUGCACGCGCGCUACAAUGGCAGUGACAGAAAGUAUCUGGAUCGAAAGAUUCGGGUAAUCUUGCAAUCACUGCCGUGAUGGGGAUUGACGUUUGUAAAUACGUCAUGAAAGAGGAAUCCCUAGUACGUGCGAUUCAUGAAAUCGCGCGGAUUUAGUCCCUGCCCUUUGUACACACCGCCCGUCGCUACUACCGAGCGAAUGGUGUCAUAAUACCUUGGGAGCG